AACGCGAAGAACCUUACCUGGGCUCGAAGCGCAGUGGACCGGGGUAGAAAUAUCCCUUUUCGCAAGAACUGCUGCGGAGGUGCUGCAUGGCUGUCGUCAGCUCGUGUCGUGAGAUGUUGGGUUAAGUCCCGCAACGAGCGCAACCCUUAUCUUUAGUUGCCAUCAGGUCAAGCUGGGCACUCUAACGAAACCGCCUCGGAUAACGGGGAGGAAGGUGGGGAUGACGUCAAGUCCUCAUGGCCUUUAUGUCCAGGGCUACACACGUGCUACAAUGGUCGGUACAAACCGUCGCAAACUCGCGAGAGGGAGCUAAUCGGAUAAAGCCGGCCUCAGUUCGGAUUGGAGUCUGCAACUCGACUCCAUGAAGCUGGAAUCGCUAGUAAUCGCGGAUCAGCACGCCGCGGUGAAUACGUUCCCGGGCCUUGUACACACCGGAGUA
RNAcentral lists this ribosomal RNA (439 nucleotides) under uncultured bacterium. RNAcentral's name for it is "bacterial SSU rRNA". It matches the Rfam family "Bacterial small subunit ribosomal RNA", at positions 958 to 1398 of the family's 1533-position model. The record is from RNAcentral.